RNAcentral lists this long non-coding RNA (399 nucleotides) under Danio rerio (zebrafish). RNAcentral describes it as "lncRNA si:ch211-274e20.4 (ENSDARG00000105526.2)". The record is from RNAcentral. Lineage: Eukaryota; Metazoa; Chordata; Actinopteri; Cypriniformes; Danionidae.
AUUGGAUCAUGGAUGCGCUAAUGGACGACACGGAUGACAAGGAAAGUGCCAUCGUACAUCCUCUGGGUGUCUUGAGGAGCUGGUCUUUGGAUAAUGCUGAGCAGGUCUUUCUUUCUGGUAAAGAUUAUCAUUACAGUGAAGUAAAAGAAUUUAACAGACAGAUUGACAAACAACUGACGAAAGAAGAGAGACGAUUCAAUAGAGGCCUCUAGAGAUCGUGACCUGUGAAGAGAUGAUGCCACCAUAGAGGACUUCUAAAUGUAUCCAUAAUCCUGAAACAGACCGUAUCAUGAGCAGAUGCUGUGGUGGUCAUGGAGAAGUGGAGAGCAUGAGACUGAUUAAUGAAAGACCCCAGUGACAGAUGAGUGCCCACAUUGACCCUGUGGUCCAGCCUGAAAA